RNAcentral lists this ribosomal RNA (468 nucleotides) under uncultured bacterium. RNAcentral's name for it is "partial 16S ribosomal RNA". It matches the Rfam family "Bacterial small subunit ribosomal RNA", at positions 28 to 507 of the family's 1533-position model. The record is from RNAcentral.
GACGAACGCUGGCGGCGUGCUUAACACAUGCAAGUCGAACGGAAAGGCCCUGCUUUUGUGGGGUGCUCGAGUGGCGAACGGGUGGGUAACACGUGAGUAACCUGCCCUUGACUUUGGGAUAACUUCAGGAAACUGGGGCUAAUACCGGAUAGGAGCUCCUGCUGCAUGGUGGGGGUUGGAAAGUUUCGGCGGUUGGGGAUGGACUCGCGGCUUAUCAGCUUGUUGGUGGGGUAGUGGCUUACCAAGGCUUUGACGGGUAGCCGGCCUGAGAGGGUGACCGGCCACAUUGGGACUGAGAUACGGCCCAGACUCCUACGGGAGGCAGCAGUGGGGAAUAUUGCACAAUGGGCGGAAGCCUGAUGCAGCAACGCCGCGUGCGGGAUGACGGCCUUCGGGUUGUAAACCGCUUUCGCCUGUGGCGAAGCGUGAGUGACGGUAAUGGGUAAAGAAGCACCGGCUAACUACGUG